RNAcentral lists this ribosomal RNA (255 nucleotides) under uncultured bacterium. RNAcentral's name for it is "partial 16S ribosomal RNA". It matches the Rfam family "Bacterial small subunit ribosomal RNA", at positions 524 to 777 of the family's 1533-position model. The record is from RNAcentral.
UACGAAGGGGGCUAGCGUUGCUCGGAAUCACUGGGCGUAAAGGGUGCGUAGGCGGGUCUUUUAAGUCAGGGGUGAAAUCCUGGAGCUCAACUCCAGAACUGCCUUUGAUACUGAGGAUCUUGAGUUCGGGAGAGGUGAGUGGAACUGCGAGUGUAGAGGUGAAAUUCGUAGAUAUUCGCAAGAACACCAGUGGCGAAGGCGGCUCACUGGCCCGAUACUGACGCUGAGGUGCGAAAGCGUGGGGAGCAAACAGGG